Molecule: long non-coding RNA, 3471 nt
Filed under: Cricetulus griseus (Chinese hamster)
Lineage: Eukaryota; Metazoa; Chordata; Mammalia; Rodentia; Cricetidae
Description: lncRNA (ENSCGRG00015033699.1)
Source: RNAcentral
UCAUCUGUCAUCCCCAAAGACAGGUUUUCUAAAACUAUUCUCAACCCACACAUGACCUAUCCAUGUGUUCCACUAAAAACAAACAGGUUUAUUUAGUACAGUUCAAAGACAGCAACUGGCAGUAACUGAAGAACAACCUGCUUGGGAUAUGUUGUUGCUGUUAUUGUUUUAGACAGGUUCUACUGUGUCUCAGUCUGGCCUCAACCCCCUGAUCUGUCUGCCUCCCUUCCUGAGAGCUGGCAUUAUACACAUGCACCACCAUGAUCCAUUUAUCCUGUUUUUCUCCGUCUAGUAUGAUGUUGGCUCUAGGCUCAGUAUAUAUAAUCUCCAUUAUGUUGAGAUAUGUUCCUUUUGAUUCUGAAGUUUUCAGGCUUUCACCAUGAGGGAUCUUAGAUUUUGGUCUGUGGCCUUUUCUUCAUCUGUUGAGAUAAUGACAUGAUUUUUAUCUUUGAAUCUGUUUACUGAUUUGUAUAUGUUGAUCUAUACCCAAAGUCUCUGGAAUGAAGCCAACUAGAGCAGAGGGAAUAGUGACCUUUCUAAUAUGUUCUUGGAUUAAGUUUGAAGUACUUUGUUGAGAAUUUUUGUAUCUGUAUUCAUCAGUAAGAUUAACCUUUCAUUUUCUUUUUGAUGUGUUUUUGUCCAGUUUUGGUAUGGGGUCUUUGGGACUGGUCUUAUUAAAAGAGGUUGAAAGCAUUUCUUCAUUUCCUACUUUGAGGAAUAAUUUAAGAAGUAUUGAUUCAACUUGGGUAGAAUUUGGCAGGAAAUUCCUUAGGAUCUGCCUAUUCUUUUACUGUUUCAAUCUUAUUGCCGAUUGUAGAUCUGUUUAAAUCAUUUGUUUUGGCUUAACUUUGGUAAGUCAUAUAUACCCGGAAAUCCAUCCUUUUCCUUUAGAUUUUACAACUUAGUGAAACAUGUGUGCAUUGGUUACUUUGUUCAUUCUUAUGAUAAAGGACCUGACCAAAAAACUUAGAGACAGAAGAAGGGGGUCAUUUUGGCUCAUACUGUUUUUUGAGGAUACAGACCAUCAUUGGCUUCAGGAGAGUGAAUCUUCUAUUUUUCUUCAAGUAUUUUUCUCUAUUUGUUUGGUCAAGAUGAUUUGCCUAUUGGUGAGUUGGCAUUAAACUCAUCCACUAUUACUGUGUUGGGAGAAAAAUAUGACUCUGCCUUUCAUACUUUGUGCUCCCGGGGUCAACAUAUGUAUGCUUUAAAUUGUACUGACUUAUCAGUGGCUUCUUCCCUUAAUCAGUAUGAAGUGACCUUCUCUAUAAAUAGGGGAGGUGAGCAUAUACAUGUGUGUGCAGGUGCAUACAGGUGGAGGCCGGAAUUCAGACUCGGGAACCACUCUUAAGUAGCUAUCCACCUUGGUUUUUGAGGCAGGAUCUCUCACUGGGAUACAGGUCUCACUAAUUAGCUUAAGCUGGCUAGCCAGCAAGCCACAAGGAUCUUUCUGGCUCCACACUAUGGGAAAGCAGACAAUAAACACCAGAUUUCAAAUCACUUCUCUGAAAAGGUCAAGGGAAAUUGGAAGCCAGUGCACUCUCCUAACAAGUGGUUCUUCCCUUGGAGAACUGCCAAGGCUUGAAAAUAUCUUAGGGAGCAGUCAUCUGUAGGCACUCAAGAGAGAUGCCUCACCCAGGCAUGGAAGCAAGGGAUGCUGAACACAUGAUGGAUCUGUGCUUCAGGGGAAAAAACCAUAUCACUGCAUGCUCAAUGUUAACCUGACAUUAGAAAUCAGGUUAAAAAAGAAAAACACCAAGUAUUCCAAAGUAGCCCAGUUUGAGAAGAAAUCUGCCUUGUAGGCAGAAGGGUGAUUGAAAAAGAGAAUUUCUUUCAGAUUUUGGAUCCCUUUGGCUGCAAACAGAGUGCAGGUUAUCUCUGUGUUAACACACCUAUAGGCUUUUAUGCAGCUCAUUGUUAACAUGCACGAAGUCCUGGGUUCCACCCUCAGCACAUUGGGAAGAAGGAAGAAGAUGAAGAGGAGGAGGCAUGGAGGAAUCUGAAAGUCAUCUAGCACAAUUCUUUGAAUCAGAAUGCUUUUGAAGACCAUCAUAGAAAACCACAACUGGACACAAUGCAGGACUCAAUGGCUCCUGAGGAGUCCAGGCCCAAUGUGUGCAUCUGCAUCACUCAGAUAACAUCAUGGAGGAAGAGAUGAAAAUAUUGCAAGAGCCAGAAUACCAGGAAACCUGCUGUGGAAAAGUCUUUCCUAGAAAUGGCUUCAUAAAGAAGAUCAGAACCCAGAGCCAUGGCAGUAUCAGUGGAUAUAUUGACAUGGAAGGAGGGAAGUCUGUAUGGGUCCCACCCCUACACAGGCAACUAGCAACUGGUGGGAGAAGGAGACUUAGCCUCUCUCAGGCAUGAGUUUCCUUACUGGCAAAUCCCACAGACUCAAAGAGAAUCCCACUGACCCAAAUUCUGGCCAAAUUAAAGCAAGCUAUAUUCAUAUACAUGAGCUCUGGCUGGUGGCUGACUCUACCUAAGGCAGAGUUGAAGAGAUUAGCCCUGAGCCUGUUUCUCAGGCUCCUUUUAUAGGGCAAAACCAUAGAGUGGGGAACAAGCAUGGUUACAGAAGCAAGACCAGGCAGUUAAGAUUAUAAAGCAGUUAAGGGAAUCUUCCUGGAACAUUUUUUACAUACACUCUAUGGUUAUGGGGUGGGACGCAGCUCAGCUCUGAGGAACAGAAACUCAAGUUUUACAGUAAAUAGGAAUUUAACUGAGCUAGAGAAUCAAAAUGGCUCCUGAUUACAAAAUGGAGGUUGACUGAUUAUAAAAUAUCUAAUACAGAGUGGUCAGCCUUGAAACCAUAUACACACAACAAAAACAGACUCAGGUUACACACGCAUUCACAUACAUACAUAUAUAUGCAUGUAAUGAAAAGGCUAUCAGAUGUGCCAGUCCCAGCUGAGUAUCACUACAGUGAGCAGCCUUAGCUAUAUAGCACAUAGGGCAAUCCCUGGAGAGGCCAGUCAGCUUCCCAGAUCAGGGUCAGUAGCAAAUGACCACUGCUAGAACAGAUUCUGUGUUAGGGCCACCUGCUGAGUGUCAGUGACUGACUGGCACAGUCAUUCCCAUUUGGACAAGAUAUGUGUGCAGUUGCACGGGAAUGGUACAUGAACAGGACCUGGACACACACGGCCAGCCUUACACAACCAUGGGAUACCCUUGAUGUCUGCUUCUGUACUCCAGGUCUGUGCUGGGCACUCCAGACAGAGAUGAGUGAGAAAGGUCUUCAGACCUGAGGACAGUCCUGUCCAUUUAUUGGACAGAACAUCCAUAAGUAAGUAUAGAACUUACCUGCUAGAACAGAUACACAGAGAAGUCCACGAGGCCAUGGUGAGGGUGAUGUUUAAACAUGCCUCUAAAGUGUGAAUCACUCACUGGGCAGAUGGCAUAGGGUGGGGACAAUAGGCAUGUGCCAAACAGAACUCUGAAUCAUCAGCUUGGCACAGUUGGCUGCUUACAAGACCUAUG